This 399-nucleotide ribosomal RNA is filed under the name uncultured microorganism. RNAcentral describes it as "bacterial SSU rRNA". It matches the Rfam family "Archaeal small subunit ribosomal RNA", at positions 330 to 729 of the family's 1478-position model. The record is from RNAcentral.
GUGCACCAGGCGCGAAACCUCCGCAAUGCGGGAAACCGCGACGGGGGACCCCGAGUGCCGUGGCAACGCCACGGCUUUUCCGGAGUGUAAAAAGCUCCGGGAAUAAGGGCUGGGCAAGGCCGGUGGCAGCCGCCGCGGUAAUACCGGCGGCCCGAGUGGUGGCCGCUAUUAUUGGGGCCUAAAGCGUCCGUAGCCGGGCCCGUAAGUCCCUGGCGAAAUCCCACGGCUCAACCGUGGGGCUUGCUGGGGAUACUGCGGGUCUUGGGACCGGGAGAGGCGGGGGGUACCCCUGGGGUAGGGGUGAAAUCCGUAUAAUCCCAGGGGGACCGCCAGUGGCGAAGGCGCCCCGCUGGAACGGGUCCGACGGUGAGGGACGAAGGCCAGGGGAGCAAACCGGGA